GCCUUUGUCGCUCAGCCGGUGGAGCAGCGGUUUUGUAAACCGAAGGUCGGCGGUUCGAUCGCGUCCGCGGGCACC
RNAcentral lists this transfer RNA (75 nucleotides) under Mesorhizobium tianshanense. Its description in RNAcentral is "tRNA-Thr". It matches the Rfam family "tRNA". From Rfam's summary of the family: Transfer RNA (tRNA) molecules are approximately 80 nucleotides in length. Their secondary structure includes four short double-helical elements and three loops (D, anti-codon, and T loops). Lineage: Bacteria; Pseudomonadati; Pseudomonadota; Alphaproteobacteria; Hyphomicrobiales; Phyllobacteriaceae. The record is from RNAcentral.